GUUGAACGCUGGCGGAAUGCUUUACACAUGCAAGUCGAACGGCAGCACGGACUUCGGUCUGGUGGCGAGUGGCGAACGGGUGAGUAAUAUAUCGGAACGUGCCCAGUCGUGGGGGAUAACGUAGUGAAAAUUACGCUAAUACCGCAUACGAUCUAUGGAUGAAAGCGGGGGAUCGCAAGACCUCGCGCGAUUGGAGCGGCCGAUAUCAGAUUAGGUAGUUGGUGAGGUAAAGGCUCACCAAGCCAACGAUCUGUAGCUGGUCUGAGAGGACGACCAACCGCACUGGGACUGAGACACGGCCCAGACUCCUACGGGAGGCAGCAGUGGGGAAUUUUGAACAAUGGACGCAAGUCUGAUCCAGCCAUUCCGCGUGCAGGACUAAGGCCUUCGGGUUGUAAACUGCUUUUGUACAGAACGAAAAGGUCUCUAUUAAUACUAGGGGCUCAUGACGGUACUGUAAGAAUAAGCACCGGCUAACUACGUGCCAGCCGCCGCCGUAA
RNAcentral lists this ribosomal RNA (500 nucleotides) under uncultured bacterium. RNAcentral's name for it is "partial 16S ribosomal RNA". It matches the Rfam family "Bacterial small subunit ribosomal RNA", at positions 28 to 523 of the family's 1533-position model. The record is from RNAcentral.